RNAcentral lists this ribosomal RNA (1565 nucleotides) under Plesiomonas shigelloides. Its description in RNAcentral is "bacterial SSU rRNA". It matches the Rfam family "Bacterial small subunit ribosomal RNA". The record is from RNAcentral. Lineage: Bacteria; Pseudomonadati; Pseudomonadota; Gammaproteobacteria; Enterobacterales; Enterobacteriaceae.
GUUUGAUCCUGGCUCAGAUUGAACGCUGGCGGCAGGACCUAUACACAUGCAAGUCGAGCGGUAACACAGAGGUAGUCUUGACUCCUUGGGUGACGAGCGUGCGGACGGGUGAGUAUAUUGCCUGGGGAUCUGCCGCUCGAUAGAGGGGGAUAACUACCGGGAAUACUAGUAGCUAAUAACCGCAUAAUAUCUACGGACCAAAGUGGGGGCUCUUCGGACCUCAUGCUAUCGGAUGAACCCAGGUGGGAUUAGCUAGUUGGUGAGGUAAUGGCUCACCAAGGCGACGAUCUCUAACUGGUUUGAGAGAAUGAACAGUCACACUGGAACUGAGACACGGUCCAGACUCCUACGGGAGGCAGCAGUGGGGAAUAUUGCACAAUGGGCGCAAGCCUGAUGCAGCCAUGCCGCGUGUGUGAAGAAGGCCUUCGGGUUGUAAAGCACUUUCAGCGGGGAGGAAGGGUCACUAGUUAAUACCUAGUGGCAUUGACGUUACUCGCAGAAGAAGCACCGUGCUAACAUCUCGCUGCCAGCACGCCGCGGUAAAUAGCGUGAGUGGUGCACAGCCGUUUAUAGUCAAGAAAUUUACUGUGGGCAGUAAACAGCCCGCAGGCGGUUCGACAGUCAGGUGUGAAAUCCCCGAGCUCAACUUGGGAACUGCAUUUGAAACUGGCAAGCUAGAGUCUUGUAGAGGGGGGUAGAAUUCCAGGUGUAGCGGUGAAAUGCGUAGAGAUCUGGAGGAAUACCGGUGGCGAAGGCGGCCCCCUGGACAAAGACUGACGCUCAGGUGCGAAAGCGUGGGGAGCAAACAGGAUUAGAUACCCUGGUAGUCCACGCUGUAAACGAUGUCGAUUUGGAGGUUGUGCCCUUGAGGCGUGGCUUCCGGAGCUAACGCGUUAAAUCGACCGCCUGGGGAGUACGGCCGCAAGGUUAAAACUCAAAUGAAUUGACGGGGGCCCGCACAAGCGGUGGAGCAUGUGGUUUAAUUCGAUGCAACGCGAAGAACCUUACCUACUCUUGACAUCCAGAGAACUCUUCCAGAGAUGGAUUGGUGCCUUCGGGAACUGUGAGACAGGUGCUGCAUGGCUGUCGUCAGCUCGUGUUGUGAAAUGUUGGGUUAAGUCCCGCAACGAGCGCAACCCUUAUCCUUUGUUGCCAGCGAUUCGGUCGGGAACUCAAAGGAGACUGCUCGGUGAUAAACCGGAGGAAGGUGGGGAUGACGUCAAGUCAUCAUGGCCCUUACGAGUAGGGCUACACACGUGCUACAAUGGCAUAUACAAAGGGCGGCAAGCUAGCGAUAGUGAGCGAAUCCCAUAAAGUAUGUCGUAGUCCGGAUUGGAGUCUGCAACUCGACUCCAUGAAGUCGGAAUCGCUAGUAAUCGCGGAUCAGAAUGCCGCGGUGAAUACGUUCCCGGGCCUGUGUACACACCGCCCGUCACACCAUGGGAGUGGGUUGCAAAAGAAGUAGGUACUUAACCUUCGGGAGGGCGCUUACCACUUUGUGAUUCAUGACUGGGGUGAAGUCGUAACAAGGUAACCGUAGGGGAACCUGCGGCUGGAUCACCUCC